AAACCAGCACCUCAAGUGGUCAGGAGGAUUAUUGGGCCUAAAGCAUCCGUAGCCUGUUCUAUAAGUUUCCGGUUAAAUCCACUAGCUCAACUAGUGGGCUGCCGAAAAUACUGUAGAACUAGGGAGUGGGAGAGGUAGACGGUAUUCGGUAGGAAGGGGUAAAAUCCUUUGAUCUAUUGAGGACCACCUGUGGCGAAGGCGGUCUACCAGAACACGUUCGACGGUGAGGGAUGAAAGCUGGGGGAGCAAACCGGAUUAGAAACCCUUGUAGUCC
This 274-nucleotide ribosomal RNA is filed under the name uncultured bacterium. RNAcentral's name for it is "partial 16S ribosomal RNA". It matches the Rfam family "Archaeal small subunit ribosomal RNA", at positions 473 to 747 of the family's 1478-position model. The record is from RNAcentral.